RNA transcript from Tripterygium wilfordii, 1946 nucleotides. It is a transcript of the gene named sialyltransferase-like protein 2, with no coding region annotated. The record is from RefSeq and is a predicted model, not a curated record. The transcript has 14 exons. NCBI's taxonomy places the organism in Eukaryota, Viridiplantae, Streptophyta, Magnoliopsida, Celastrales, Celastraceae.
CUCUGAUUGGUGGGCACCCUGCUCUCUCUUUCGCGCUUGCUAGUCCAGAUCCGAAGAGAGCUUCUCUUCCUUUGAAUCGCGUGGAUUGGGAAGCCAUAGCGAAUCGAUUUACAGUUCCGAUCACCAAUUCUAUUUGAUGAGGCCCUUGCAAUUAGGCUUUCUACUGGUUUUAGCUUCGGGACUGUCAGCGAUCCUCAUCUACUUCACCGGCACAUCCAAUCUAUUUGAGACUCGUCGGCCUUCGGAUGAAGAUUUGGAGGCGCUGCAGUCUCUGCAGAGCGGCUUCCAGAAGUGUGUGAGUGCAAAUGGAUUAGGUUUACAGGCUGCGAGUGGUAAUGAUUAUUGCCUAGUCACAAUAAGCUUUCCCAGUGGCACUGCCUCCAAAUGGAAAGAUCCUAAAACUGGGGAACUUGAAGGUUUGUCUUUUGAUUUUAAUCUCUGCGAAGCUGUGGCUACAUGGGAGCAGGUACGGAAUAGUACAACAAUUCUUACCAAGGAAUUCAUUGAUGCUUUACCAAAUGGAUGGAAGGAUUAUGCAUGGCGUAGGAUUAACAAAGGAGUACUUCUGAACCACUGUGCGAAUAAAACUCUGUGCAUGGAGAAACUCUCGCUGGUACUCCCAGAAACACCACCAUAUUAUCCAAGGCAGUUUGGCCGGUGUGCUGUUAUUGGUAACUCGGGAGAUCUGUUGCAAACAAGGUUUGGGAAGGAGAUUGAUAGCUAUGAUGCUGUUAUCAGAGAAAAUGGGGCCCCCAUUCAGAACUAUACAGAAUAUGUGGGCAAAAAAAGUACAUUUCGUCUUCUUAAUAGAGGAUCUGCCAAAGCACUUGAUAAAGUUGUAGAGUUGGAUGAAACAAGGAAGGAGGCCUUGAUAAUUAAGACAACAAUACAUGACAUCAUGAAUCAGAUGAUUCAGGAAAUUCCCAUAAAAAAUUCUGUAUAUCUCAUGCUAGGUGCAUCCUUUGGUUCUGCUGCCAAGGGAACAGGGCUCAAGGCUCUUGAAUUUGCUCUCUCAAUAUGUGAAUCAGUAGAUAUAUAUGGUUUUACUGUGGAUCCAGGCUAUAAAGAAUGGACUAGAUAUUUCUCGGAAUCUCGAAAAGGUCAUACCCCUAUGCAUGGUAGGGCUUACUACCAGAUGAUGGAGUGUUUGGGUCUUAUCAGAAUCCAUUCUCCUACGCGAGCUGAUCCAAACCGUGUCGUGAGAUGGGUGCCUAGCCAAAGUGCCAUUAGAGCUGCCAGAAUUGCAUCGGAGAAGUUGUUGAGGAGGGUAGGACCAGGAUCUGCAGACCCGCUGGGUGCCUGUGUCAUAACAACAAAGCAAGUUAAAAGGAAGUCAACAUUGGUUUCAAUUUUUAGAAAGGCUGCUGUUGAUCAUCAAAAAUAUGUGAAAGCCACGACAAUGUACCCUCUGGAGCACCGUCCUGGACAUGGUAUGCUUUGCACAUUGUCAACUAAUUGAGUCUAUGGCUGGCAACUGGAUUUGAUCUCAGAGACAAGCUGUGCUUUAUAGUGAAUGCAUCAUGUCGAGAGUUGUGUACCUGACGGUCUGAUUGACUGGCCUUUCUCUAAGAUGAGAGGAACUUGGAAGUUGGAAGGAGAGUUUGCAGUUCUUCUGCAGUCUAUUGAUUAUGGGUGCAACUGAAAGCUCCCAUGGCUGAUUAUAUUCAAGUUUCGUUACAGCGAAAGAUGGGAUGAUUUUUUAAAAUUUCCCCUUUUUUGUUUUAUUCGCUGGAGUAAAUCCUGGUUUACGUGGAACCUGAAAAGGAUGCAAAGCUGAUGGGCGUAGACAGUUUUGUUAAUAUUUUUCUUUUCUUCUUAAUUGAAACAGACAGUAUUGCUGCCAGGAAAAUCAUACUUCAGACUAACGUGUACUUUUUGGCCUGUUGAGUGGCUGACUGUCCUGGAGAUCAUGAACUACAGUAAGGUAUAGAGUAACAUAGUUAGUA